UUUGAAAGGACCAACACUGCAUUAUUUGAUUGUACUAAACGCACUACUAAUUGUACAUUUUACCAAGGACGAACACUGCAUCUUUGUAUUGUACUAAUGGUAGUACUAAUUGUACAUACAAAAAAAAACACGCUUUCUCUAGAACUUUCUUCCUACAUCUGCCAAAAUUCUAACCCUAAUUUCUCGCCUCCUUCCUAAAGUCGCAGCAUUCUCUCAACUCUGCCUUCUACUUCGCACCUCUUCAAUGGCGAAUCCAUCUGCUCCUUAGUUUUUCCUCUUUGUCUGCGCACUUUAACUCUCUCUCUGGAGCUUUGCUGAACAUCUCUGCUUGUUUCCGACGCGCCGCGCAACUACUUGUUCAUCGUUUAACUUUCUAUCCUCCUAGUUAUAAUCUGUCUCUGAACCUUUGCUUACGAUUUCGGUUUCUUUCCAACGACCUGCACAGAUUGCCUCCUACUGAACCAGACAAAUACCAGUGAUACACAACAGCCUGCUGGGUUUGCACCAGCCUCUUCAUUAUCACCGCCUUAGAAAGCUUCGUUCAAAUGCUGGCCCAAACCAUAUAUGCAUGCUAGCCACUCCAGCAGAUUGACAGACAUCCCUGCUGUGGUCACAGGUACCUUUUUUCC
Molecule: long non-coding RNA, 629 nt
Organism: Solanum stenotomum
Lineage: Eukaryota; Viridiplantae; Streptophyta; Magnoliopsida; Solanales; Solanaceae
Exons: 3
Source: RefSeq, a predicted model, not a curated record